This 253-nucleotide ribosomal RNA is filed under the name uncultured bacterium. RNAcentral describes it as "partial 16S ribosomal RNA". It matches the Rfam family "Bacterial small subunit ribosomal RNA", at positions 524 to 776 of the family's 1533-position model. The record is from RNAcentral.
UACGGGGGGGGCAAGCGUUGUUCGGAAUUACUGGGCGUAAAGGGUUUGUAGGUGGCUUGCUAAGUCAGACGUGAAAUCCCUCAGCUUAACUGGGGAACUGCGUCUGAGACUGGCAAGCUCGAGUGCAGGAGAGGAACGCGGAAUUCCAGGUGUAGCGGUGAAAUGCGUAGAUAUCUGGAGGAACACCGGUGGCGAAGGCGGCAUCCUGGACCGACACUGACGCUGAUGAGCGAAAGCCAGGGGAGCAAACGGG